UUAAGAUAUAAUGCUGAUAAUGAUACCAUCUAUUUUUAUUUAUUACUAAGCAUUCGAGAACAGAAUACUUAAGUUGUAUUUUUGAUGGUAUAAAAACAAAGAAUUCCAAUACAAAUAUCAUCAGUUACUUUCCGUCUUGAAGAGUAAAGAAGAAUCCAAAAUGUUCAAAUUGAUUGCACUAUUCGUCAUCCUAGCACUCGCCACGGUGUCUAUGGCCUUACCUAGACCAGAACCCAAUCCUCAAUAUUACUAUGGAGCUUCCCCUUACUAUGGUGGUUACGCCUACAGCCCAUACGCAUUGGGAUAUGGUUACUAUUAAAACACGAUUACCUGUUGAUGAUUGUUAAGCCUAACUAUGUGAUGAUUAAGGAUUUAGUAAAUAUACAUGAUUAUUAUAA
Molecule: long non-coding RNA, 398 nt
Organism: Aethina tumida (small hive beetle)
Lineage: Eukaryota; Metazoa; Arthropoda; Insecta; Coleoptera; Nitidulidae
Exons: 2
Source: RefSeq, a predicted model, not a curated record